This 33-nucleotide ribosomal RNA is filed under the name Anopheles anthropophagus. Its description in RNAcentral is "partial 28S ribosomal RNA". The record is from RNAcentral. Lineage: Eukaryota; Metazoa; Arthropoda; Insecta; Diptera; Culicidae. RNAcentral also lists the same sequence under 1 other name.
GUUAUGUGUGACAACCCCCUGAAUUUAAGCAUA